This 253-nucleotide ribosomal RNA is filed under the name uncultured bacterium. RNAcentral's name for it is "partial 16S ribosomal RNA". It matches the Rfam family "Bacterial small subunit ribosomal RNA", at positions 524 to 776 of the family's 1533-position model. The record is from RNAcentral.
UACGAAGGGGGCUAGCGUUGCUCGGAAUCACUGGGCGUAAAGCGCACGUAGGCGGCUUUUUAAGUCAGAGGUGAAAUCCUGGAGCUCAACUCCAGAACUGCCUUUGAUACUGGAGAGCUUGAGUCCGGGAGAGGUGAGUGGAACUGCGAGUGUAGAGGUGAAAUUCGUAGAUAUUCGCAAGAACACCAGUGGCGAAAGCGGCUCACUGGCCCGGUACUGACGCUGAGGUGCGAAAGCGUGGGGAGCAAACAGG